This 799-nucleotide ribosomal RNA is filed under the name uncultured bacterium. RNAcentral describes it as "bacterial SSU rRNA". It matches the Rfam family "Bacterial small subunit ribosomal RNA", at positions 131 to 965 of the family's 1533-position model. The record is from RNAcentral.
UUUAGGUUCGGAAUAACUCAGGGAAACUUGUGCUAAUACCGAAUGUGCCCUUCGGGGGAAAGAUUUAUCGCCUUUAGAGCGGCCCGCGUCUGAUUAGCUAGUUGGUGAGGUAAAGGCUCACCAAGGCGACGAUCAGUAGCUGGUCUGAGAGGAUGAUCAGCCACAUUGGGACUGAGACACGGCCCAAACUCCUACGGGAGGCAGCAGUGGGGAAUCUUGCGCAAUGGGCGAAAGCCUGACGCAGCCAUGCCGCGUGAAUGACGAAGGUCUUAGGAUUGUAAAAUUCUUUCACCGGGGACGAUAAUGACGGUACCCGGAGAAGAAGCCCCGGCUAACUUCGUGCCAGCAGCCGCGGUAAUACGAAGGGGGCUAGCGUUGCUCGGAAUUACUGGGCGUAAAGGGAGCGUAGGCGGACAUUUAAGUCAGGGGUGAAAUCCCGGGGCUCAACCUCGGAAUUGCCUUUGAUACUGGGUGUCUUGAGUAUGAGAGAGGUGUGUGGAACUCCGAGUGUAGAGGUGAAAUUCGUAGAUAUUCGGAAGAACACCAGUGGCGAAGGCGACACACUGGCUCAUUACUGACGCUGGGGCUCGAAAGCGUGGGGAGCAAACAGGAUUAGAUACCCUGGUAGUCCACGCCGUAAACGAUGAUUGCUAGUUGUCGGGAUGCAUGCAUUUCGGUGACGCAGCUAACGCAUUAAGCAAUCCGCCUGGGGAGUACGGUCGCAAGAUUAAAACUCAAAGGAAUUGACGGGGGCCCGCACAAGCGGUGGAGCAUGUGGUUUAAUUCGAGGCAACGCGCA